AUAAAAAUAGCAGCUUUUAUUAAUUUAUAAAGAAAAUAAAUAACCUUUUAUAGGGAUCAACUUGCAUUAUGAUAAAUUAUGUACUGAGAUAUGUGAGUUGAUUUGUUAAACAUUAUGGUCUAUGCGACGAAGUGCGUCGUGGUCAGUUUAAAUGAUCUUUUGGAUAGCAGUAAGUUUGUUUCUAUUUAGUCUUAAAAACUUGGAUACAUAGUAGAGCGAAGAAAAUAAAUUCAAGCCAAAAAAAGAGGUCAUAUUUAGUGCUAGUCUUUCAACCCACUAUUUACAUUAGUUACACGACCAAUAUGUUUACCGGCUAACAAAAAUAUAAAUGUACAUGCCAGUAAGUCACACAAAGUGAGCUACAUUGUCCAUAUUUUCUGCAAUAUUAGAAAGAAAAGGACGUCAGUAACGGCAAGUAGCAAGGUAUCUGGUAGCUUAAAAAUAUAGCGGUUGUUCUUUGCAUUACCUGUCAAACACAAGCUAGCGACCUUCAAACACGUAUGUACAUAGCAUGAGAAAGCGUAUAUACAGCCAUUUUAGAGAGUUAUAACACCCUGCGAACAAAACAGAUGUAAGAUCUACAAUGGUACCUUUUUUCGUCAACCAAAAAAUAUUUUAUCAGUAAACCACAAUUUAUAUUGAAAAACAUGUUGCAUAAUCUUAGUCAGCUAUACCAAUACAAGGGAAAUAAAAGUGCAAGGUAGAAAGUAUAAAUCAAUUCAGACAAAAGAAUGUCUUAAAAAACAUGUACUGAUAAAGUAGUACUACUUUAUAAGUAAUUUUUUAUCAGGAAUAAAAAGUGUAACAAUAGUAUAGUAAAUUCCAUAAGCAGUGAUGAGAGAAAGAAGAAGAAAACGAGAAAGAUUGCUGAAGAAGAAAUCGAUGAAGAAGAAAUUCAGCAGUCAAUUCGCUGAAGAAAAAAUUCAGUAGUCAAUUCGCUGAAGAAGAAAUUAAGCAGUCGAAGAAGAAAUUCAGAAGAAAAAACAUACUGAAGUUGACUCCUUAUUCAUGUCCACGAAACUUUGGGAGAAAAAGAGAGUUGAUAUUAGAGGAAGAGGUCCACAAAACUUUGGGAGAAUGAGAUGUAUCAAAGUAGAGAACGAAAGAAAAAAGUAUAAUUGAUUAGCGUAUUUAGUGGCUUAGGGCUAGGAGUAAACCUAUCAUAGGAACUUAGAGAAUUCUUUUGUAGGCAUGAACACUGGAACAUUACUGAUGUUUAAUGAAAGGUAGUGCACUAGAAAUUUAGCUAACAAUGGGUUGUCAACAUUAUCAACACAACUAUUAAUUUGUCUAUCUUUUCUUUUUGGAUUGCCUGCGGGAAGGCGUUCUUUGAAGAUGAUGAAUGUGAGUGAAUUAGAGAUUAUGAAUGAAUAUAGAAUGGAAUGAAAUAUGCAGUAGUUUUUUUUAAUUUAAAGUUUUCUUUGAGUUGUUUGUGAUUCAACUAUAAUCUGCUACUCCUACAUCAGAAAUCAAAGAAUUUAUUCUUGAACAUGAAUAACAAGUUCCUAAAAGUUUAUCAUCCGUAAGUAUGGGAAAAAGUAAUGAAAAAGUAGAGAUAAAGUUUAUUAACCUUCAUUUUUC
RNAcentral lists this long non-coding RNA (1581 nucleotides) under Nicotiana tabacum (common tobacco). Its description in RNAcentral is "long non-coding RNA (NTAB_LNC015021)". The record is from RNAcentral. Lineage: Eukaryota; Viridiplantae; Streptophyta; Magnoliopsida; Solanales; Solanaceae.